GCCGAGUUUUCGCUUUUAUAACGGUUAGGUGAACAACUGGGCCUGGUACUAGUUGUCUGCGCAUGCGUCAGUCGUUCGUCAGAUUCUGACGAAUGGAUAUUCUCGUUCACUUUCGUGACAUUUAUAUUCGUGUACUAUCGUGUACUAGAAGUCAGUUCCCGUUUUAUCAUUAUUGGAAUCGAUUGGAAUGGCUCUUAGCUGAAGCUUCUCUCUUCUCUGAAGCUUAUUCUGAAGACUGAACAACAAGGGAAGAGGUAUAAAGCUUUGUCAAGCUUGUUAAGGUCAGAUAUUUUUGUGUGGGCCCUAUGGCUAUGCUAUCAAGUCUUGUUCAUGUUUGGCAAGAUCUACCGGUACGUAGGUAGACUAUAUAUAGUUUCAUCAUUAAUAUGGUGGAUCAAGUGAAGAGUGUGAGCUAGAGAACUUGGUGCUGCCAUCAUCAGCUCGUCGACAAUGACACUAUAACCGAGAAAUUUAAUAUGUAUAGAUCUACACGUAUUUAAAAUGUCUACUUCUCUGUACAGGAUCUAGGAGCAAUGGCUAAUAUCCAGCUAUCCCAACAGUGCUCCUCUUGGCUAUACUAACGGACGAGACUGGACAGUUUGAGGACUGGAGUAUGACCUGCUCAUUCGAACGUUGCUGGAUAGCUCAGAGACAUCAAGAGAAUCUACGUUUUCUCAAGCAAAAUUUAACUGAGCUACGAGUUGGGGCCUAGAAUCAGAGAAGUCCAGCAGCCUGCUAAAUCUUUUUGAAACGUAAUUUGAAGGCAUUCAUUCAUCCUGAAGUUGCCCUGGGUCACUGUAAUUGUGCUGCAGCACAACUGGCAACUCCCCAGGCCUUUGUGAAGCAGCUCCCUAUGUGCAUCUUUUGUGUACUCACUCUGUGCAUUUUCUGUGUACAAAUUUCGAUUAUUGAUUUAUUAAAUAUUUUUGCCGACCACAAA
Molecule: long non-coding RNA, 940 nt
Organism: Halichondria panicea
Lineage: Eukaryota; Metazoa; Porifera; Demospongiae; Suberitida; Halichondriidae
Exons: 2
Source: RefSeq, a predicted model, not a curated record